RNAcentral lists this long non-coding RNA (369 nucleotides) under Chelydra serpentina (North American snapping turtle). Its description in RNAcentral is "lncRNA (ENSCSRG00000001971.1)". The record is from RNAcentral. Lineage: Eukaryota; Metazoa; Chordata; Testudines; Chelydridae.
CUCAGGGGCAGCGGCUCUGUGCCUCCCUCUCUGGGUUGUUGCUGACCUGAGAGCCCGCUGCUCAACUUUCCUCCCGCUGCUGCUGCUGGCUCUUUGAUUCGCCCAUUCCCCUGCUCUGCUUGCGGUGACUGAGGACUCUCUAGGCGGUUUCCAAGAAUUUCUAAUGUGAAAGGAAAAAGCCAGGAAGCGCCAAGGAGGUGCUGCUCUCCAUUGACUGGCAUUGACCGCUCCUGGCCUUUCCCACAAGCACUGGAUGAAGAUGAGCAGCCUGUCCCGAGCAUGACGUCGUUGGCAAAUGUCAUUGCUUCCCACAAAUCGGAGUGGGUCUCCUUCAAUGAUGAGCUGCUCGUGCCGGUUACUUUGCAGGGU